GACGAACGCUGGCGGCGUGCUUAACACAUGCAAGUCGAACGGUGAAGGGACCGGUUUUUGCUGGUUCUGGAUGAGUGGCGAACGGGUGAGUAACACGUGAGUAGCCUGCCCCCUUCUUCUGGAUAACCGCAUGAAAGUGUGGCUAAUACGGGAUAUUCUGCGCCUGCUGCAUGGUGGGUGUGGGAAAGAUAUUGUUUCGGUGGGGGAUGGGCUCGCGGCCUAUCAGCUUGUUGGUGGGGUGAUGGCCUACCAAGGCGGUGACGGGUAGCCGGCCUGAGAGGGUGGACGGUCACACUGGGACUGAGACACGGCCCAGACUCCUACGGGAGGCAGCAGUGGGGAAUAUUGCACAAUGGGCGCAAGCCUGAUGCAGCGACGCCGCGUGAGGGAUGGAGGCCUUCGGGUUGUAAACCUCUUUCGCCAGUGAAGCAGGCCUGUCCCUUUUGUGGGUGGGUUGACGGUAGCUGGAUAAGAAGCGCCGGCUAACUACGUG
Molecule: ribosomal RNA, 493 nt
Filed under: uncultured bacterium
Lineage: Bacteria
Description: partial 16S ribosomal RNA
Rfam family: Bacterial small subunit ribosomal RNA
Source: RNAcentral